This 292-nucleotide long non-coding RNA is filed under the name Sorghum bicolor (sorghum). RNAcentral describes it as "long non-coding RNA (SBIC_LNC008571)". Lineage: Eukaryota; Viridiplantae; Streptophyta; Magnoliopsida; Poales; Poaceae. The record is from RNAcentral.
UUGGCUUUUCUUUUUUUUUCAUGGAUUACCGAUGCCCACAUGUUUCAAAGGGAUCUCAAAGAGGAAAAUGGAGAGAUGUCAUGAUGGUGAUGUAAGGAGUAAAAUUGUGUAUGAGGAUGCGCAAACCUUAGGGUGAGAGUUUGGCAUACUUAUUUGGUGGAAGCUAAGGCGCAACUCUCAGGGUAAGAGUUGGUAUAUUUUUGGUGGAUGGAAGGGUGCAUGUUGUGCGCAACUUCUCAAUGUGAGAGUCAGCUUUAUUUGGUGGGUGCAUGAAUCUCAUAUCAUGGGUGCA